Molecule: ribosomal RNA, 942 nt
Filed under: uncultured archaeon
Lineage: Archaea
Description: bacterial SSU rRNA
Rfam family: Archaeal small subunit ribosomal RNA
Source: RNAcentral
GUUGAUCUUGCCCGGACCUCACUGCUAUCGGGGUGGGACUAAAACAUGCAAGUCGAGCGCCUUCCAAGCUAUGGUGAAGGCGCGGCAUACGGCUCAGUAACACGUGGCCAACCUACCCUUGGGACGGAGACAACCCCGGGAAACUGGGGCUAAUCCCCGAUAGGUAAGGAAUCCUGGAAUGGAUCUUUGCUGAAAGGGCGUCUAGACCAUGCUUCUUGACGUCGCCCAAGGAUGGAGCCGCGACCGAUCAGGUAGUUGGCGAGGCAACGGCUCACCAAGCCUAUAACCGGUACGGGCCGUGAGAGCGGGAGCCCGGAGGUGGGCACUGAGACAAGGGCCCAGGCCCUACGGGGCGCAGCAGUUGCGAAAACUCCGCAAUAUGCGAAAGCGGGACGGGGCUACCCCGAGUGCCGCCCGCUGAGGGCGGCUUUUCCACGGUGUAAGGAGCCGUGGGAAUAAGGAGAGGGCAAGACUGGUGUCAGCCGCCGCGGUAAUACCAGCUCUCCGAGUGGUGAGGACGAUUAUUGGGCUUAAAGCGUUCGUAGCCGGCUUAACAAGUCUUCCGUUAAAUCCAACGAUCUAAUCGUUGGGCCGCGGGAGAUACUGUUGGGCUAGGAGGCGGGAGAAGCCGACGGUAUUCUCGGGGUAGGGGUGAAAUCCUGUAAUCCCGGGAGGACCACCAGUGGCGAAGGCGGUCGGCUAGAACGCGCUCGACGGUGAGGGACGAAAGCUGGGGGAGCGAAUCGGAUUAGAAACCCGGGUAGUCCCAGCUGUAAACGAUGCGGGCUAGGUGUUGGGGUGGCCACGAGCCGCCUCAGUGCCGCAUGGAAGCAAUUAAGCCCGCCGCCUGGGGAGUACGGCCGCAAGGCUGAAACUUAAAGGAAUUGGCGGGGGAGCACCACAAGGCGUGAAGCUUGCGGUUUAAUUGGAUUCAACGCCGGA